AUUCUUCCUCCAUUACCUCACUGCCUCCGGUGGCUGCUGGGAUACCGGAGGACUCGGGUCCCGGCUCGACUCAGUCCUCCAGCCGCCCGGGGAAUACCUCUAGUUCUUCCCGGCCGCCGCCGCCGCCGCCGCCCCGCCGCUUCCUCCUCCGCCUGCCGGCCUCCUUCGCCCCGUCCCGUCCGCGCAGCGCGUCCGGCCCGCCCGCAGGCCAGCUUCUCUCGGGAGCCCCCACCCAGGCGCAUGGCUCCAUGAAGCAAGAGGAGGAGGCAGAGCGCGAGAGGUCCCGUCCGCCCCAGCCGCGUCUGGGCCAGGAUAAAAGCAAAACCAUAUUCCUGCUGCUGUCAGUUAUGAUGCACUGAGAAAACUUCAGAGACCUAAACUUUUUCCAGAGAAGAGAAGCUUUACUGGUGUUCCAGCCCUAAGAAACCUUUGUUCAAGAAAACGGCAGAUGCUCUGUUGAAUCCACUGGAGAUUGUUCUGAUACUAAGGACAAGUAUCAACCAUCUUUCCUGUGAAAAAUUCCCUCUCGUACUUUAGUUCUGUGGAUCCAAAAUUUAUAGCAUUCUUCUACCACCACAGGGGCUCAUAUGACAUUAACAGACAAGACACUUUUCAGAAAGACAGGCAACGUGUUGGACCUUCCGGAGCUUCUCAGAAGACAGAGGGUUUUCUUUUGAGGAUUUAAACCUCAGACACAGGGAGCUGACCUAUUCACCUUAGAAUCCUCUGGGGCACCCAUUACAGUGUCUGUACCAAGGAGGCAACAAAGAACGGCGGAACAGACUGGAGCAGAAGGACCACCCAGCAGAGCCAAGCCAAAUCACUGACCCUCAGAGGCCUGAUGUGAAUGCUUAUGGCUUCAGUCCAUUGGAUUCUGCAGUAAUCUGCCGAUCUACAGUAUUACCACAGUAAAUAACCGAUAGACCUGAAAACGAAUGCAUGCCUUGUGCCAAAAUUGCAGGAAACCUCACCAGGAGAAACAAUUUUAUAUGAGGGAAUGUACUCUCUCCUUUGCAUUUUCCCUCAAAUCUAUAUUUUUAGCCCCUCACUUGUCUCUACAGAGCCUCAGUUGCUUAAUCUAAUUGCUGACUGAACAUCUCCAGGAAACUGUGUGUACGUGUUUGUAUUCAUAGUAUAUUUAUUUAUUAUCUGUUUACUUCCAUGGGAUAUAGUCUCCAUAAGAGAGUAGUCAUCAUUGUAUUUGUUGAUGCUUAAUAAAUAAUCAUUGAAUGGGC
Molecule: long non-coding RNA, 1235 nt
Filed under: Homo sapiens (human)
Lineage: Eukaryota; Metazoa; Chordata; Mammalia; Primates; Hominidae
Description: HSALNT0358759
Source: RNAcentral